UUUUUUACUUUUUUUAAUAGUCUUUAUAUCGCUGUCUUUAGAUAUAAAUCUUAACUUAUAUCUCUAAAAAUCUAUUUUCUAAGUCAAGUCGAGAUAAAACCUAUAAAAAAGGGAGCCGAGUUACUUAUACUUUUAUUUAGGCUUAAAUAUCCAAAAAUAUUUAAAUUUAGGAUUUGAAAGUAAUAAAUCAAUAAUCUUCUUUUAUGAAACAGUAUCUUAGGUGUACAUAUCGCCCGUCACCCUCGUCCAAAGAUGAGGUAAGUCGUAACAUAGUUAAUAUACUGGAAAGUGUAUUAAGGG
This 300-nucleotide ribosomal RNA is filed under the name Augacephalus ezendami. RNAcentral describes it as "partial 12S ribosomal RNA". Lineage: Eukaryota; Metazoa; Arthropoda; Arachnida; Araneae; Theraphosidae. The record is from RNAcentral.